UACAGGGGGUGCAAACGUUGCUCGGAAUUAUUGGGCGUAAAGCGCGCGUAGGCGGCUACUUAAGUCGGAUGUGAAAGCCCUUGGCUCAACUGAGGAAGUGCACCCGAAACUGAGUGGCUAGAGUACGAAAGAGGGUCGCGGAAUUCCCGGUGUAGAGGUGAAAUUCGUAGAUAUCGGGAGGAACACCGGUGGCGAAGGCGGUUCUCUGGGCCUUACCUGACACUGAGGAGCGAAAGCGUGGGGAGCGAACAGG
This 253-nucleotide ribosomal RNA is filed under the name uncultured bacterium. RNAcentral's name for it is "partial 16S ribosomal RNA". It matches the Rfam family "Bacterial small subunit ribosomal RNA", at positions 524 to 776 of the family's 1533-position model. The record is from RNAcentral.